AAAAAAAAUAAAAAACAUAAGCCCAAUGCGGGGCUCGAACCCGCGACAACCAGAUUAAGAGUCUGGUGCUCUACCGACUGAGCUAACCGGGCGGCGG
This 97-nucleotide transfer RNA is filed under the name Caenorhabditis elegans. Its description in RNAcentral is "Unclassified non-coding RNA C56G7.4". The record is from RNAcentral. Lineage: Eukaryota; Metazoa; Nematoda; Chromadorea; Rhabditida; Rhabditidae.